UUCUGCUCAAAAAGGAAAAGAGGUAAAACAAAGAUGUUAUGUGUACAUAGAAGCCAUGACCGAAAAUUGAUCGUAGUAAAUGAGCAAAAUCAACCUGUUGGUCCUAGUAAAGAUGUUGUGAUAGAAUUGGGCAGUUUCCUUGGCACAUUGGCAAGGAAUGUGAAUCUUUGCCCUCUCGAUAUAUAUGAUUGGAGGAAAAUGGACACAAAAGACGAUUUGUGGGCAUAUACCAAGGAGAAAUAUGAUAUCUCUGACACUGCGAAAAAAUGGGUUUUGGAUGGAAUUCAAGCUGCUUGGAGAAGACAGAAGAGUAAUUUGAAAAAAAAGCACUUUGAAGCCUACGGGAAUGAUGAAAUUCGAAUGCAAAAUAGGCCUGAAUAUAUUCCAACAUCUCAAUUUAAGGAUCUACUCAAAUAUUAGAACUCCGAAAAAGUCCAGUGAAAUUGUACGGCAGCAGUGUCUCUGACGCGAACGCAGUCCAACUCUCGCCCUCAGCGGAAGGGAGAAUCAGAGAACUAAAAGUGGAGCUAAAAAUUGAAGACCACGGUCCGCGAUCAUAUCUCACGGCCGCAGUUGAAGGAACGCUGAGGUGGAUAUUUUUCUGCUCUCAGCGGACUCAGAGUUCAGAACCAGCUAAUAAGAGAAGAACCGCGGUCCGUGCUUGCUUUUGUACGGCCGCGGUAGUCCAAGCGCUCAGGCGGUCCAUUUUCCGUUGUCAGCGGAAUCCCCUUAGGGGUAAUUUUGUCCGAAAAAUUUAGCUAUGUAUAAAUAGUUCUUUCCAAAAUUUUAGAUCAUCUGUUGUUUAUAAAGCAUGUGAACCGCGGUUUUUAUCCUUUUAGAGUAAUGUUAGAACAUCUUUAGCAAUUAAUCUUACAUUUUACUGUUGUAA
Molecule: long non-coding RNA, 889 nt
Organism: Nicotiana tabacum (common tobacco)
Lineage: Eukaryota; Viridiplantae; Streptophyta; Magnoliopsida; Solanales; Solanaceae
Source: RefSeq, a predicted model, not a curated record